This 332-nucleotide unclassified non-coding RNA is filed under the name soil metagenome. Its description in RNAcentral is "partial contains 5.8S ribosomal RNA, internal transcribed spacer 2, and large subunit ribosomal RNA". The stretch from base 1 to 120 matches the Rfam family "5.8S ribosomal RNA", at positions 35 to 154 of the family's 154-position model. The record is from RNAcentral.
GAUGAAGAACGUAGCAAAAUGCGAUAAGUAAUGUGAAUUGCAGAAUUCAGUGAAUCAUCGAAUCUUUGAACGCACAUUGCGCCCGCCAGUAUUCUGGCGGGCAUGCCUGUUCGAGCGUCAUUUCAACCCUCAAGCACAGCUUGGUGUUGGGACUCGCGUUAAUUCGCGUUCCCCAAAUUGAUUGGCGGUCACGUCGAGCUUCCAUAGCGUAGUAGUAAAACCCUCGUUACUGGUAAUCGUCGCGGCCACGCCGUUAAACCCCAACUUCUGAAUGUUGACCUCGGAUCAGGUAGGAGUACCCGCUGAACUUAAGCAUAUCAAUAAGCGGAGGA